This 22-nucleotide microRNA is filed under the name Ananas comosus (pineapple). RNAcentral describes it as "microRNA s0544_c69a". The record is from RNAcentral. Lineage: Eukaryota; Viridiplantae; Streptophyta; Magnoliopsida; Poales; Bromeliaceae.
CAAGUAUGGUGAAAAAAGCAUC